UAUUUAAAUAGCUUAAGUUUAAAGUAUAAUAUUGAAGAUAUUAAGAUAAUAUAUUAAAUAUUUUUAAAUAU
RNAcentral lists this transfer RNA (71 nucleotides) under Dolichoderus sibiricus. RNAcentral describes it as "tRNA-Phe". Lineage: Eukaryota; Metazoa; Arthropoda; Insecta; Hymenoptera; Formicidae. The record is from RNAcentral.